Molecule: ribosomal RNA, 478 nt
Filed under: uncultured bacterium
Lineage: Bacteria
Description: partial 16S ribosomal RNA
Rfam family: Bacterial small subunit ribosomal RNA
Source: RNAcentral
GACGAACGCUGGCGGUGUGCUUAACACAUGCAAGUCGAACGGUAAGGCCCUUCGGGGUACACGAGUGGCGAACGGGUGAGUAACACGUGGGUGAUCUGCCCUGCACUUCGGGAUAAGCCUGGGAAACUGGGUCUAAUACCGGAUAGGACCACUGCCUGCAUGGGUGGUGGUGGAAAGCUUUUGCGGUGUGGGAUGGGCCCGCGGCCUAUCAGCUUGUUGGUGGGGUGAUGGCCUACCAAGGCGACGACGGGUAGCCGGCCUGAGGGGGUGACCGGCCACACUGGGACUGAGGUACGGCCCAGACUCCUACGGGAGGCAGCAGUGGGGAAUAUUGCACAAUGGGCGCAAGCCUGAUGCAGCGACGCCGCGUGAGGGAUGACGGCCUUCGGGUUGUAAACCUCUUUCAGCACCGACGAAGCGCAAGUGACGGUAGGUGCAGAAGAAGGACCGGCCAACUACGUGCCAGCCGCCGCCGUAA